This 634-nucleotide ribosomal RNA is filed under the name uncultured bacterium. RNAcentral describes it as "bacterial SSU rRNA". It matches the Rfam family "Bacterial small subunit ribosomal RNA", at positions 59 to 666 of the family's 1533-position model. The record is from RNAcentral.
ACGCUUCUUUUCUACCGAGUGCUUGCACUCACUUGAAAAGAGGAGAGGCGGACGGGUGAGUAACACGUGGGUAACCUGCCCAUCAGAGGGGGAUAACACUUGGAAACAGGUGCUAAUACCGCAUAAUAGUCGACACCGCAUGGUGUUGAUUUGAAAGACGCUUUCGGGUGUCACUGAUGGAUGGACCCGCGGUGCAUUAGCUAGUUGGUGAGGUAACGGCUCACCAAGGCGAUGAUGCAUAGCCGACCUGAGAGGGUGAUCGGCCACACUGGGACUGAGACACGGCCCAGACUCCUACGGGAGGCAGCAGUAGGGAAUCUUCGGCAAUGGACGAAAGUCUGACCGAGCAACGCCGCGUGAGUGAAGAAGGUUUUCGGAUCGUAAAACUCUGUUGUUAGAGAAGAAUAAGUAGGAGAGUAACUGCUCUUACCUUGACGGUAUCUAACCAGAAAGCCCACGGCUAACUACGUGCCAGCAGCCGCGGUAAUACGUAGGUGGCAAGCGUUGUCCGGAUUUUAUUGGGGCGUAAAGCGAGCGCAUGCGGUUUCUUAAGUCUGAUGUGAAAGCCCCCGGCUCAACCGGGGAGGGUCAUUGGAAACUGGGAGACUUGAGUUGCAGAAGAAGGAAAGUGGAA